This 383-nucleotide ribosomal RNA is filed under the name Enterobacter sp. FER7. RNAcentral's name for it is "bacterial SSU rRNA". It matches the Rfam family "Bacterial small subunit ribosomal RNA", at positions 967 to 1352 of the family's 1533-position model. The record is from RNAcentral. Lineage: Bacteria; Pseudomonadati; Pseudomonadota; Gammaproteobacteria; Enterobacterales; Enterobacteriaceae.
AACCUUACCUACUCUUGACAUCCAGAGAACUUUCCAGAGAUGGAUUGGUGCCUUCGGGAACUCUGAGACAGGUGCUGCAUGGCUGUCGUCAGCUCGUGUUGUGAAAUGUUGGGUUAAGUCCCGCAACGAGCGCAACCCUUAUCCUUUGUUGCCAGCGGUCCGGCCGGGAACUCAAAGGAGACUGCCAGUGAUAAACUGGAGGAAGGUGGGGAUGACGUCAAGUCAUCAUGGCCCUUACGAGUAGGGCUACACACGUGCUACAAUGGCUGCAUACAAAGAGAAGCGACCUCGCGAGAGCAAGCGGACCUCAUAAAGCGCUCUAUCCGGAUUGGAGUCUGCAACUCGACUCCAUGAAGUCGGAAUCGCUAGUAAUCGUAGAUCAG